This 4247-nucleotide long non-coding RNA is filed under the name Homo sapiens (human). RNAcentral describes it as "PREDICTED lncRNA (TCONS_00257636)". The record is from RNAcentral. Lineage: Eukaryota; Metazoa; Chordata; Mammalia; Primates; Hominidae.
GGUUCUGGGAAAUAAGAAAUCAUUAGAAAAAGAUUUCUGCCUUCUAGAAGUACACAGUCUAAUGGUGAGAUAGGCAGUUAUUAAUGGCUCUCCUACUAGGAGCCUGACAUCAUGGUGAGCAUCGAGAAAGGAAUAACCUAAGCUGAAGACACGCCUUUUCAGGAGGCCAAGUUCCACGUUCUGUGCAUGCUUUUGGCGAAAGUCAGGUGCCGAGACAUGAACUUUGGUCUUCUCUGCAAUCCAUCUGGAGCAUUCACUGACAACAUCGACUUUGAAGUUGCACUGACCUGGCCAGCCCUGCCACUUACCAGGUUGGCUCUGUAUGGCUAAGCGUUUUCUCCUAAAAUCCCUUGAAAACUGUGAGAAGACCAUAAGAAGAUCAUAUCUUUAAUUCUAUUUCACAAGUCACACAAUAUUCCAAUCAAAUACAGAUGGUUGAGAAAAGUCAUCCAUCUUCCCUCCCCACCCUCCCACAGCCCCUCAACCACUGCCCUGAAACUUAUAUGCUGUUAUCCGCAGCUCCAUCUGGAGCAUCACAGCUACUGUCAACCCUGACGCUCUUUCUGAAAAAACACCGGAUGGACAUCAGAACUAUUUCUUUAAGGAUGUUACUGAGCCACACAGGAAAACUUGCCUUAUGAUUUUGAAUGCACGGAUCUGAUUUGACUAAACAUGAUAACUAGAGAAUCACCCAAUCUACUCCCAUUUUCAACUCUAAAUCAUCAGAGUGUCUCAAAUCCAAAGCACACACAGACCAGCCUGGCCAACACGGUGAAACUCCACCCCUACUAAAAGUAUAAAAAUUAUCCAGGUGUGGUGGCGGGCGCCUGUAAUCCAAGCUACUUGGGAGUCUGGAGGCAGGAGAAUCCCUUGAACCUGGGAGAUGGAGGUUGCAGUGAGCAGAGAUCACACCACCGCACUCUAGCCUGGGCCACAAAUCAACAACAACAACAACAACAAAAAACAAAGCGCACACAGAGACUGAGGUCCUCUUUGGCAUUGAGAAGAUGGCUAUGCAAGUCCCAACUAGCAAGUGCAAACUUCCCAGCUUCACUUCUGCCAGUGUCCCUUCACCCCUUCUCAACCCCACUGGGAGGCAGGAGGGUGCUUGACAAUAACAGCCUUGGCAUCACUCUGCCAGGGUGUAAUAGGAACUGUUACAAUUCUGAGAUUCUGUAAGUGCUUUGAGAUUUUGGAGUCAGACUGCUUGAACUUGAAUCCUGGCCCUCUCAUCAGAGACUUGACUUAUUUUAGGCUGUGGCUUGCCUUUUCACUUCUUGUGUCCUGUUUAAGAAAUAUCUGCUAUCCCAAGCAUCUGGCAUCUUUCUUGACAUAUGUAGCAGUUGCUUUUUGACAGCUUGCUUCUUCAGUGAAUGAAUAAAUUAAUAAAGAGAAAUGUGAUGUUCAGUGAUCCAUUUUGCAGAUAACACUAACAAAGUUGACCUUAGAAUUGGAGUGCCUGGGUUAGAACCCUGCUGGUACCACCUGCUUACUGCAUGCUUCUGAUGUGAGUUCAGGAGAAGACACUGGCAAGGACAGCAAAGAACAGGAGAACACUCUAGCUUCCCUGAUAGCAUUCAAGGUGCUGUCCAAACUGACUGUGAUGGCACCCUCCAGACAGACAGCGAUGCCACAUGUUCAAGAUGGCAGAAUCACUAUCAGCUUCAAUUCCUGAAUGACUGCAGAGCAAAAUUUCUUACCUGCAACAUACACUCUAUUUUCAGCCUCCCUGGACUGUUACAUAAUGAUACAUAAAAAUAUUUCUUGUGUUGAGGCAUCCCAAAUUUGAUUUAUUUGUCAUCACAGUCUAUCCUAUGAAUAUAUUUCUGAUCCAAAUAAUGCUAGAUUCAUGAGAGUUUAUAGUCCAGAGAUUUUUUUUUUUUUUUUGAGACAGAAUCUGUCUCCCAGGCUGGGGUGCAGUGGCAUAAUCUUAGCUCACUGCAACCUCUGCCUCCCGGGCUCAAGUGAUCCUCCCUCCUUAGCCUCCAUGAGUAGCUGGGACCACAGGUGUGCACCACCACACCCCGCUAAUUAUUUUGUAUUUUUUGCAGAGGGGGGUUUCACCACAUUGCCCAAGCUGGUCUCAAACUCCUAGACUUAAGGGAUCUGCCUGCCUUGGCCUCCCAAAAUGCUGAAAUUACACUUGUUAGCCAUAGUAAUAGUUCCUAGCCAUAGUCCGGAGAUAUUUUAAAAACUUUAGUGUGAGUUAUUUCUCUUUGCUAUAAUUCUCUCAUGCAUUUUGAAAACCUUUUCUGCCAUACAGUGGUUUUUGGGAAGUCCUUUUGGACAGACAUAUCACAGGAUGGAGAAACUAAAAAGAGAGAAUGCAUUAAAGAAAAAAUAGUACUUCGUAUUUCAGAAAUUACAAAAGGGUGUCAUGCCCCACAGCAUGGUGGGCAGUCAUUUGUAACCCACAGAACAUUGAGUUUCUAAAAUUUGAGUGUUUUUAACUUACGAAGGCCAACUUUACUGAUGAAGUGAUUACCCCAAAUAUGUGAAAUCCAUAUUUCAAGUACAAUAGUAGGAAAUUGGAAAUGGGCUCUUGAGUUUCUGCUUUCAAGUGACCCUCAGAAAUUCCUCCAUUCACUGCAGAGGUUCUGUUUCUCCUUGCUUUGUUCUGACUUUACGGCAGAACUAAGCUAAUGAGUUAGUUACUAUGGGUUAUCACUUGGAUUUGAAGAACCAUCAUUUCUAGGCAUUGCUGCUCAGAGUGGGUCUGCCCUCAGGGGAAGCUGUCUAACCAGAGCCUAACCCACUAGGGUUUUAUCAGAACCUAACUGACCUGAGGAAAAGAAAUACUCAACUCCAGCAAGCUCCAGCCUUCCAAAUGGAGGAGGAGAAAACCCAACUCCAGCCCACUUCAGCUAUCUUGUCCCACAUAAAGGGGAAGUGGAAGAAACCUGAGAAGCAGGCAUGAAGUUCACAGUCCAGAGUGUAUUCCACACCAUUUCAUAUUCCAUCGCAUUCCAUUCUACACAAUUCCACAUCUCCCCGGCCACAUCAGCCUGAGAGUAAUAAACAGACCUUGCCAUCGUAUCCCCUUUUGGAGACACAAGCCAGGAAGGAAGCUCUUCAGUGCAGCUGUGAAUAGAGAAAUGCUGGCUGAGGUUUUGGAGACACUGGGUGAUCAUUCCCAGUGAAAUUUUUAGAUCCCUGGGGACAUGAGCUGCUUUGUCUUUUCCAAGGCUGAAAAAGUUUUGGAAGCCCUCCUAAGCAGGUGCCAGACCCUUUUUUGGCCAGAGACAGGAUCUUACGCUGUUGCCCAGGCUGGAGUGCAAUAGUGUCAUCAUGGCUCACUGUAGCCUGGAACUGCUGGGCUCAAGGGAUCCUCCCAGCUCAGCCUCCCAAGUAGCUAGGAGUAAAGUCUGGAGAACACUUUUUCUUUUGAGCUGUUUACAACCUUUAGCAAUUGAGUAGAGUGUACUCUUGUCAAUAGAAUUUGAAGCACAUUUCUCUCUCUGCCUGAUUUCUGUAGAAUUUGUAAACUAUUUGUGAAUAUUCUUAAUUUAUGGCAAUAUGGUUGCUUACAUAAGUUCAAUAAUAAUCUGUUUUCUUUUACAAUGAGACACAGUUGGAGGAACUGGUUAUUUUCCCAGGGCUUUGACUGAAAUGGCCUUGUGAAUGGUUCCAGGAAAGCCAAUUUUGGAGACCCUAUGUGGAUGAUGAUGCUUGCUGUACUUUCUGUGGGUAAUCGGGCCAAGUAUAUGGGACUGAAGCUAAUUUUGCAGGUGAGAAAAUGGAGGUCCAGAGAGAAAAGUGACUCACCCAAGCUGAAAACAGUUGCAGGAAGAAAAGCCAGGACAGAACUGGGCUGUUAGAAACCUUGGAGUACACUAAAGAUGAGGAACUGAGUCACCGCAAUGCCAAAUGUAACACGCUGUGGGUCAAAAUUUGGAUGGUUGCGUUGGAAAUUAUUCUGAAGCCACAGACAGGGCUAAAAGAGUCUAGAAUGUCCUACUAGCUGUUGGAACCUGCUGGAGUUCUAAAGGCAUGCGAUGUCCUGAAUGUGCUUGACCAAUGGACACAGCAGGUAUUUGAAGAGUUUUGAUGCUUCCUUUCUGUUUUCAGUGCUAUUUUUUUGCUUUAUUUCUUUUAAAAAACUUUCCCCACAGAGGCUAUUUAUUACACAGCAGCAGCCAGCAUGCACCAAGCAGAACUGCUUUUCAUAAUAAACCUAUUUAUCUUCUGGCAUGUCAGAAAUUUCUCAAAUUGAUACUUAUAAUAAAUAUGAUUAAUAACACAUUGUA